Molecule: long non-coding RNA, 23723 nt
Organism: Ictalurus punctatus (channel catfish)
Lineage: Eukaryota; Metazoa; Chordata; Actinopteri; Siluriformes; Ictaluridae
Source: Ensembl
AAGAGAGGACACCUGCUGGUCUGCUUUUGCUUCCCCCUGUCUCUCUCUCUUUCUCUCUCUCUCUCUCUCCUGCAUUAGAAUUCAGUGUCUCGCUUUGCCUAGGCUCACUGAGUGGGUUAGUGAAGCGUGUCACGGUAAGAACCAGUGAAUUGUAAUGAACUGAACGUGUGCGGGAGAAAAAUAGCGAGAGAGAAAGAAAGAAAGAGAUAGAGAGAUGGGGAAAGGGAGGAGAAGAGGGAGGGGAGUAGAGGAGAGGAGAGGAGAGAGGAGGCUUGGUGUGCAUGAGCUGGUUCCCUUCUUCAGGCGCACAGAGCGAAGAGGAUGGGAGAGGCUGUCGGCUGAAUCACCGCCACCUCCGCCACUUCAUCUCUCCCACACUUUUUUCCCAGGCAUGGGGGAGUGUGUGUGGGACAAGAGAACUCGCUUACAUCCUCCCUCGUUCCCUCAUUCCCUCCCUCUUUCCCUCCCUUCCUCCCUCAGACGACUCACUUCUAUAUGAAUCCAUUCAUCUUUCCCCCUCCAUCUCAUUUUUGUCACCCUCCUCCUGUUUUUGUUUCUACAUUUAUUUUCUCUCCACGUGUCUUUCUCUCUCUCUAUCCCACACAACGCUAUCCCACUUGUUUUUUUGUCACGGCCAAGGAAGAGUAAAUGAGCAGCCGGAGAGCCGUGAGAGGAGAGGAUGGAGAAAAGAGGAGAGGGAGCAGGGGGGAGAGCUUUGUCCGGCCGAGGAAGAGAGAGACGGAUGCAGCACCUGCCGCGACUCAGCGCACCGCACUCGUUCUUCCUGUCCGUGUGAUGGAUCGUCCCGGCAAGAGCUCUCCGUGCGAGAACAAAACGCCAAAAAGAAGAAAAGACCCACACCGAACGGGGCAGCUGCUGAAAGAAAACCAAUCCAUCCUCGCUUUUUUUUCUUCAUCUCGGGGUGCAAAACUAUCUUUCGUACAAACUUGUACAGUCGAUUUUUCGGCCUUAACAAUCUCUGAUCCUCUGGCUCCCUCCCUCCCGCUCUCCCCUCCCUCGCUCUCGCUCUCGCUCUCAGAGGCACAGUUUGGGACAUUUUCGGUCUAAUUGUGUAGAAUUCUCAGGACUUCGGCGACUCUGAAAAGCACUUUUCUUUCCGUUUCAUUCCUUACCACACCAAAAGGCCUUUUUGAGUCAGACCCUUGUCCUCUUUUUCGGCUUUUGAGGCCAAAAUAAUUGGAGCUGGAGAUUGCCCGCGCCCUUCCCGAUCCAGACGAGUGGCCAAUCUGUACGGAACACCUGGUGCAGGGUUUGUUUUGUUUUGUUUUUUUGCGGGAAGUGGCAUUUUUUCCCCCUCAAUCCUUGUAUUAUCUGUGGGCAUAAAGAGGUGGUGUGGAGGGGUGGAGAGGUGUGAUGCUGGGGGGGGAGAGGGGGUUGUUGAACCACCCAAGACGUAGCGCUUGAUGAUCCAGAGCCGAUAUACGGGAUACGGAGAGAGAAAGUGGGACCCCUGAGGAGAUUAAAGGAGAGAGAACGGUGGGCUCAGGGAAAGAGGGAGGGAAAGAGGGAGGGCCGAGUCAAGAUUCCGGAGCAAGUACGAGAUGCUAUCCUCGCCAUCCCGUGAGAAUGAGACUCAAAGAGUGAUCGUAGACUUCUUUCCAUCUCGCCACUCCAGAUAUAUUUAACAUUUUUACAUUUUAAGGAAGCAACUCAAGCUGCACCCCUUGACCUUUGAUUACACUUUGCAAUCCAGAAAAGAAAGAACUUGGCACCUUGUACCCCCCCCCCCCCCCCACCCUUUUCUCAUUUAUUCACCAAGGCCCUUCUCUCUCUCUCGCUCUCUCUUUCUCUCCGCUCGCCACAUUUUUUCCCUUCUUCUUCUUCUGAAAGCCGCACAUCGCUAAUCCACAGGCAUUUCGUCAGAUAGCCCGUGCUGAUUUCUGCACUGAUUGGCCGUCUACUUCAGACCCUCUCCUUGUGCACCCCUCCUUCUCUCACUCCUUCGCUCCUUCACUCUCCUUCAUUCUCCUCCCCUCCCCAUCUCUCUCUCUCUCUCUCUCUCUCUCUCUCCCUCUCUCUAUCUCUCUCUCUGCUCCAUUGUCUCAGUGUGCAGUAGCUCGGCUGCUCAGAGCCAAUCCUUUUCACAGCGCCGGCAAGGACAGAGAGCGAGGUUGAGGUGAGUGCAGCUGAACGCAUCCUACACGCCCCUUCUUCCAUAAACGUGAACUCCAGACACAGAUCUAUCUAUCUAUCUAUCUUUUUUUUUUUUGCAAUGACAUUUAAGGUGUGGGUUUUUGCUUUAGUGUUGUUUUGUCUUUGUUUGGAAAGCUUGAGUCAUUUUUAUAUCUUGGUGGAGGAGCUUUGGGGAAGAAUUUUGUGUUGAGUUAUAUUGAAAUGUGUGUGUGUGUGUGUGUGUGUGUGUGUGUGUGUGUGUGUGUGUGUGUGUGUGUGUGUGUGUUUGUUGGGAUGCUAGACUCUUGGUUAGAGUAAGUGUGCCACUGCGUUGACCGAAAGCAACUAACGACUACACUUAGUAGAGUAUCUCCUCGUAUUCGGCAUCCAUGCCAUGCUCACCCCUCACCUACACACUUACACACACACACACACACACACACACACACACACACACACACACUCCCUUUGACAAAUGUAGGUAUUCCCCCAAGGCUCGGACAGAAAUAGAUACGGUGCUAAAUUAGGACACGGUUCUGGGUCUGCGCUGAAAGAGGUACGAUGCUGCACGCUUCCACACUCUGAGAACCUGACGCUUUAACCUUUCCCUUCAAACUUAGCACACACACACACACACACCACACCACACACACACACACACACACACUUAAAAAAAAAUCAAACAUCUUAACUGGAUUUUAGGAUCUUUAAAUUUUGGAUUCGAUCAAUUCUUCGCAUUUCUUUCAACCCCCUAUCCCAAAACAGGAUGGUAUCUCUUGCAUGAAUUGUGCAGUGAGACCUCAACCUGUAACGGACUCGUCAGUACGAUACCAAACGCUCAUAUACAGAACAUGUAAAUAUCCGCUAUCGUCUUUAUUUACGUCCAGCCUGCGUCUUUUCCCUUCGUUAACGCUGCUGGUUUUUCUUUCAGACCAGAUCGCGCGUCUUUGUUCUUGCGCUUUUUUUCCCCCUUUCUUUCGGGUUUUAAAUGUUACACAUUUUCUAUGUGACAGAUAACACAACUUUUCCUGAAAGGUACUCUAAUGCAGCUCACGAAUCCGGCUUAAUCAAUCUUAAAGGAAAGAAAUCGGAUUUUCCACACUGAAACAGGAUUCCAUGUCCUUUUCCCGCUAGUAUAUGUGGGAGCAAAAUGUGUGUGUGUGUGUGUGUGUGUGUGUGUGUGCACAUACAGGUGUGUGAGACAGAAUACCCAUGCUGCGCGUGUAGACUGACAGGAGCUAAAUUAGUCCGGACAGAUUACACUGAGAUCCCGCUCUCUUUAUAACACCUACAGGGGAUGGAGGGAGGGGUGAUGCACACAGAGCCGGCUGGAAACCAGCAGGUUCUCCUCGCCAAUCCCAUCCUGUCCUCUGAAGAGUGAAAACAGAGACAGAAAAAGGGGGAUAGAGAGAGAGAGAGAGAGAGAGAGAGAGAGAGAGAGAGAGAGAGAGAGAGAGAGAGUUAGCAUCACUACAUGCCAAUUCCUUUCCAUUGUAAACGAUACUGAUAUUCAACCAGAGCUAAUCAGUCAUUUUGGUCCUCUUGUCUCCUUCACUUCACCUGAGACACCCCACCAUAAACGUUUCACCAUCAUGAGACUAAAGAUUGACGUCAUUGGUGAGGGAACCCGUUGGUGCGCAGCUCUACCUGCAACAAGUUUAGGGCGUUCCCAUCAUCCUCUAAUUUAUUACCUUUUUUAGGGGAAAAUAUCUGAAUUUGGGGAAAAAAAUUAUUUUUUAAAAAAAUUACCUUUCCGGGGAAAUGUAAAAGCAAACGUGGGGGAAAAAAGUUUGAAAAAUUGUACAUUUAGGGGAAAAUAGAGCAAUAAUGGGGGGAAAUGUCCUCCAAAAAAUUGGGGGGAAAUAAUUAAUUUGGGAAAGAAUUAUGGGGAAAAUGUACAUUUGGUAGAAGAGGGAUAUUUAAAAAAAAUAUGCUGGAGAAAACAAAAAUAAAUUUAUGCAAAUGUUUGUGGGUAAAUUUGGAAAGGGAUUUUUUUUAAUGUUGUAAAAAUGUCAAAUGGGGAAAAUAGUAAGGGAAAUGUAGAGAAAAAUAUCCAUUUAGGAAAUAAAUGUAAAGAAAAUGUAAAAUGGGAAAGGGGUAAUGUAAAAAUUAAAUCUGGACAUUUUUGAUAAAAUAUGUAGGAAACAAUGUAAAUCUAGGGAAGGGGAAUGCAAAUAAAAAAUAAUGUACAAAAAAAGUCAGUGAAAAAAUGUACAUUUGGUCAAAUGUAAAUUUGGGAUAUUUUUUUCUGUAUUGUAAAAAAAAUGUGCAUUUAAAAAAUAAAUGUAAAGAACAUGUAGGGAAAUGUCAAUUUAUGUGGAUAAUAUCAAAUUAAAAAAUUUUAAAAAAGGAAAAAAGAUAGCAUGUACACUAUGGUAUAGUCUAUAGUCAGUAACUGAGAGACGGACAGUAGACAGAAUAAAGGGGGAAAUCCGAGAGGGAAAAAAAAGACUGGGGCAUCCUUCACACACAUGCUAAGAGCUCUCUAGCACAGAAGUGCGUUCAUGCUCAUGAGUCCAGUCACGGUUUCUACGACCUAUAACCUCUUGAGUUUGUUAGUGCUAUUGGUUAGAUCUUUUAAGGUGUUUCCUUGAUUGCGUCGUCAUGGUAACAUGUUUACUACUACGGACAAAAGUGUUCUCGAGGCUGAUCCGAGAAGUUCUCGGAGAUGAUCACGACUCUGAAGGGUUCUUGGAAGGUUCUUGUGCGGUGUGAAGUAGGGUAAGGUUUGCCAAGAUUACGUCAUAUUUUGGAGCGUGGUGUUGAGUGGUGCUGGUGAGGUGGGUGUGGCCAUGAUCCUAGUGACUGGGUAGUGCUCCUGCUUCCAAUGGGGUGUGGUUUUCUUCUUUACUUCAUUGUAUUUAGUGUGCGCUUGGGUUGUACGUGGACACGGUGCAGCAUAGUAACGAUGCCAAUGGAGCUCAUGAAGGAGAAUUUGAAAAUUCUGUUUAAACCGAGCGCAAGGUUGAUUUGUUUAGCUCCUGAUUUUUGGCUUUUUUGAUUAUUCAGUAUUCAAUCAGCCCAGAAUAGUGCUGAUACACAAAUAUAGACAGAGCCAAGAAGCCCAGGGCUUGAGCAGCUUGACUAAGCUGUGGAGUGUGUGUGUGUAUGUGUGUGUGGUUUUGGCUGGUAUUCAUGGCUGUGACUGUGUUAGCGAGGGGGGGACCCCAACCCACCACAAGGCAGCCGGCACCAUUGCAUCACUGUGUGAGGGAGAGGAGGAGGAGGAGGAGGAGGAGGAGGAGGAGUGAGUGAGCGAGUGAGUCAGGAGACAUAUUUCCAUCCAAAUGUUGUUUUCUGUUCAUGGAUCCAGUGAAAUUGUCGUAGACUAUUUAUGCAACAAUUUAUUACACCCUUAGUGGCUAAUUUUAGCUCUGAUUGGACAUAACAUACAUAACAAUCCAAUGCCUGGAAAGAGAGUAACCAACAUGUCAUUUAACUUUAGCUACUGAUUAAGAUUAUAAAAGGUGCGUAGAGAUGUAACUAAUUAUUGAUUACAUUUAUUUAUUUAAAGUGGUUUAUAUGUUUGUUUUUCUUUUACCUCACCAAAUGGUAUUUUGUUUUUGCAAACUAUGAUGAGUUAUUAUCACAUAGCAAAGCUAUAUACACCUCCUCGUAUAGAUGUGCCGCUAUCUUCCUCCAAUUUAUUUAUGUUUUAUGGGGAAGAUGUAACUUUGGGGGGGGGGGAAAAUGUCUGUAUGUUAUGUCUUUAAAAAUUGGGUGGAAAAUGUAGAAAAAUAUUAGGAAAGUAUGUGAAUUUGGGGAAAAUUUUGAAAAGAAAAAUGUAGGAGAAAUGUACAUGGGGGAGUAAGAAAUGCCAAUUUGGGGGAAAAAAAAAUUAUUUUAAAAAUUGGAUUAAAAAAUUUACAUAAAAUGUUAAGAACAGUUUUUAAAUUGGUAAAAAUGUACAUUUGGGUAAAUUAUAGGGAUAAUGUAAAAGGAAAAUGUAAACUUGGGAGGUAAUUAAAAAAUAGUGCAGAAAAAUUAGGAAAAAUGUCAAUUAGAUUUGUAAAACUGGGGAAAAUUGGUACAAUUUGAAGUGUAUUACAAAUAUCUUGAUGAAAUAUUAAAUAAAAUGGAGGGAAAAUGCAAUUCUGAGGGGGAAAUUUCCAAAAAUAUAAUUAGGAAAAAUUUAUAAAUUUGAGGACAAUGCCCAAAAAAGUCUAUAUACCAGAAAAUGUCAAAUAUAAUGUAGUAAAAUGUCAAUGUAAAUUCAGGGCGAAAAAUAUAAAAAAUGUAAAUUUGGGGGAAACAAUAGGGGAAUUCAAAAUUUGGGGAACAGGUCAAAAUAUAUGUAGGGAAAAUAUAAAUUUGUGGGAAAAACAAAAAAUUGUAAAUUUGGGAAAAUUGACCAAAAAAAAUAUGUUGGAAAAAAUUUUGGGAAAUGUUAAAACAAAUCUAGGGGAAAAUUUUGAUUUGGGGGCAAAUGUAAAAUAAAAUGUAGAAUUAUUUUAAUUUUAGGAGAAACUGUAAAAAAAAUGUAGGGAAAUGUAAUUUUGAGAAUUUUAUCUGUGUCAUUAUGGUCUUUGUAUCGUUUUUGGGAUCAUUUUAGCAUAGAUUAGAAAGAUAGCUACAGUCAGUGACUAAGUGAUAAACAGGAGAGAGAGAGAGAGAGAAAGAGAGAGAGAGAGAGAGAGAGAGAGAGAGAGAGAGAGAGAAGCUAAAAAAAAGGCCGAGAGAAAAAAUAGAAAUGCGAGUGGAGCAUCCUUCACAUGCAUGCUAAGAGCUCUCUCGCACAGAAGUGCGGUCAUGCUGGAGUCCAGUCACAAUGCCUACGACUCAUAACUCACACUCUGAGCGGAUCCUACACCUUCUCCUCCUCACUCAGCUCUACUCUCUCCUAUCAAUUAGGCUAACUCAAUGCUAACGCUUUUCAGUGGUGAAUAAAUUGCAUGAAGCUCUGGUUCCCACCUCCCCCUACACACACACACACACACACACACACACACACACACACCCUCCCAUUUCUCUCCAGAGGUGUGUAGGGGAAAAACAACUCGCGCCUCCGCAGGGGAAAGGCAUUUGCCACAGAUAAAGCUAAUUUAAUCUGAUGAAAUGUGACAUUUCGCUAUGGCCAGAAAGUGCACGUCUCACGUCAAGAUUAAUGAAUCGCCAGCAGCCAAUCUUUUAAACACAUGACACUAAAGGCGAUGCUGAGACACCGGGGUGUGGUUUUUGGUAAGAUGAAUAAUGAAAUAUAAAUUAAUAAGAAGAAAAACGUGGGAUGCAGCUACCGGAAUCCUGCUGACGGAGAUGCUGAAGGCGGAUACUUUGAUUAGAAGUGAGAAGUUGUUUCAUACUUCUCUGCAUUCCUUCCGUUCUCUCAGUCCUCCUCCUCCUCUUCCUCAUCCUCCUCCUCUCUUCUGUUCGAAUUGUGUAACCAGCACGUGUGUGUGUGUGUGUGUGUGUGUGUGUGUGUGGCUGUUUACUCGUGUGGUUAACAGUGUCGAUGGUUGGUAAGGGGAAUUUCCUUGUGCCUUGCCAAGACGAGGCAGAUUGGCGCUCAGCUUGUGCCAGGGUUGCGCUAAAUAAUUAUUACCUCUCAGAAUUACUUACGGUCUGCUGAGUAGCAUUUCAUUGGCAAAUAAAGCCCAUUAGCUCCAAACUAUCGGCUUUCUGUGCAAAACACUGUAAUUAUUCGGGACGCGCUUCCCGGGUUGAUGGAAAAAGGAGGGCAUGGAGACGUCGUGGCCCCCAUGUAGCCGACUGUAGACAGGUUUCCUUUCCUUUACGCUGUGCUCCGACAUCACCUUGACCCUCGCUGUCUCGUAAAUUCCGCAGGGUGACAGGAUGUCCUCAUUACCGAAAGAAAAAGAGGGCGUUCUGUGUUCGCCAGUGGACUCGAUUAACAUAAAGUGACACUGAGCAAAAACAAGAAAAAGACCCGUGGCCUUGAAUUUGCUGCACGUGACGAGCUGAAAGCGCCUUUGUGAGGAAGAUAACAUAACGUAGAUGACGGAGCACACUUGUCACUUUCUAACAAUAUGUUCAAGCGUCAAUUCCUUGCUUACAAACAUCCGGAUAAAUGAAUAACGAUAAACGAAUAACGUGACUCGUGACAAUGUUUCCAGUUUAAUGCUAUGCUACUAAUGACUACAAUGGUUUGUUUCACACUGGCACUUCUUUUAACUAGUGGCACACACUCUGAACUGAUGAGAUACAGAGAACAAAUGCGUAUUUCUAUGCUAUUCGUCUUUAAAUGUUGUGCUUUUCCAACUAGCCGUGUCAUCAGUUUGCUAAUCAGGCCAAAGAGGGUAAAUAACCUCUUUGAUAGCCACCAGAAACUCUUUCCUUUCUCUAUGAGCUACCUCUAGCUACAGUUUUUCCCCUCUUUUGGCUGCUCCCGUUUGGGGUCACCACAGCAGAUCACCCCUCUGAAUAUUUUGAUUCUGGCCCAAGUUUCAUGCCAGAUGCACUUCCUGAUGCAACCCUCCUCAUUUCCAGGCUUGGGACCAGCACUGGCUCGUGCAACCCUCUAGUGGCUACAAUUGGGGAAUUGAACCCAGAUCGUGGCGAUGAGAGCGCUUCAUAGCUGCCUACAGUUAAAUAAUUUACAUAAAUGUAUGGCCGCAACACAGGAUCUACUCGGUCCACCAGUUGUUGCCGGUUUAGAGGAAGAAAACCAUUCAUCUUGAUUAUUUGCGUUUCCUGCCUCCACACUUUAUAGCAGGGGUCAUCGUGGUCCGGACGUGGACCUUGCAAAGUAUUUCAGCUGAUCGAAUUUAGUGCUUGGAAAAGCACCAUAACCAACUCGUCCAUAGUCCGUAGUUUGGACCAAACUACGUAGUAACCGUCAUUAGGGUUAACCCUAACCCUAACCAUUGCUGAUACGUUAGCAGAUGCUCUGUUGCAGCCAAUCAUGUUUAAUAUUUAUCUGAAGGCAGCUCAUUAGACCAGAGACUAGCUACAAGGGGUAAAGAUAUUAACUCAGAAUGUCAUUGCGAGAGUUUUAUUUACACUCUCUGGUCUGGUUAACGCACUGAUGACAUGUCUUGGUUAAAGAAGUUGACGGAAGCAGAAUUUUUAAAGAUGAGUGGACAGCGAAGACAAAUUCAAAACCGAUGUGUCUAGGGAGAAGUGCACAACUGUGUAUAAACUUCUAAAUCGUCUUAUUUAUAGCCAUUACAGGUCAUUGUUGUCAUCAUUUGGUCAUGUUAGUCACUUAUGUGAAAUUUUAUAAGUAAAGAAUUCAGCAGUUUAGUUGAAUUUAGUUGAAUAUUGCUGCUCUAUAGUACUCUGCAGUACCUCCUCCAUCCCUGAAUAACAAGCUCACCGUUUUAUAACACCCUCUAUGCACUGCUGUAAGGCUUUAGAUAAUCCUUCCAGAACAAACAAAAAAAAAAUAGAAAAACCUAUUUUUAUAAAAUACGUCCAAUAUGUUUAGAGCUUAAAUAUCCUCAUGUCCUUGUAUUCAUUUUUCUUUUUCUUUAAGUGAGCCCUCUGUGGCUUAGCAGGCUUGGAUAGUCUUAGUCUCCGUGAAAGGAUCCAUCCGUAUGAUUAGCGGCUUGGUUUAAAAGGUUGCCUAAUAAUGUUGUGACUGUUAAUAAGCACUGCUUACACUUUUCUAUAGGCAGUGUGUAUAUAAUUAGCCGGGCUGGGAUGAGCCGGGCUGUUUAAUCAAUAGGCUAAUGCACGGCUCAAAAGGAGCCGGGAAAGAAUAGGGCCAGGGAGUACUGCUGCGAGGCACAAAGGCCACAAAGGGAAUGGCUGUCUCUGCUUAAGUCUCAGCAGAUCAAUUUGCCAUAUCCUGAACAGCCUGUUUAAAAAGAAACCCAGAAUAAGACGGCGUGUCCUGUGUGUCCCGUCCUCUAGGGGGAGACGUCAAUCUUGCACAAAUAGCCGGCUUCAGUGGAGGACUAAGAAAAUGGCUUUUCUAUUUCACACACACACACAAAAAAAACCCUCACAACUUACUCUUACUCUCUGGUUACUUCCCUGCCGCUCAUAUCGAUUAGACCAUGAUAGACAGGCAGUGCUCGGUUUCAUUUGUGACAAAAUGUAUCCUCACAAAGAGCUGUUUACUUAGGAAAAAGGACGGAGGAAAAAAAAAGAGAAGGACGAGUGAAAAAAGCAGCGUGAAUGAAGGCUUUGUUCGCCGAGGCCUAGGCGCUGCAUGAGAGGAUGCAGGGCACUGAUGGAUAGUUAUACCUGGCUCCCCCCUGGUGCCUCAAAUGCCUCAGCUAGAUACCACGGCUUGAUACAAACGCACCCUCUGUCCACCUCCCCCUCUCUCACUCCCCCUGGACUGGCUUUGUGUACGAACAACCGGAGCCUUUUCCUGCCUUCGCUCUUUUUUUCAGUGGCCUUUCCAUUUUCCGCUCAAGCCGAAGAAGGAGGGGUUUGGCAACUUGUCCAGGCUCACCUGUGGAUGGUAAAGUGGGAGGCUUGUCUGGUGAGAAAAGAAGACAAAAAGCAGUUGAUCUUUGUGUGAAUCUGAAAAUCUGUGACGUACGUUUUUAAGUUUUUAGGAAGGGAUAACGUCAGUCGAAGCUGUCGAACGGAUUCUAGAAGUAAGGAUGGGCAGCGCUAAGAGAUUCAACAAUGGAGAGGUCUGUUGUUGUUGUUUUUUCUCCUUGAAUAAAGGUAGCAGGUGUUCAGGAUUGUGGUAUUGAUUAAACUGCUGCAAUAUAAACGUAGCUAUGUGUAGAAUGGUUUUAUACGCUCUUGAAUCCGUUGACGUAUGGAUGUUUCGUGAAGGACAGAGUGCACAAGAAUUGUUGCACAAAGUCAACAGCAGGAAGAGAAGAACCAGACUCUAAAAGGAACCUGUCCUCUUCUCUGUGGCACUGGAUAGUAGGAUUACAACAUCGUUAUGGUGUACUGGUGUAGGUAGAAGAGUAAAGCCAAACAGUACUGGUGUCUUGAAAGGAUGUUCAGAAUGAGAUUGUGAAUGAGUCCUGGCUGGGAUGAGCAACAGGACCGUCUUUAUGAUAUCAGCAGAAGUUAGUAGGUACAACUCUACAGUAUCUAGGUGAGAUUAAACACUGAAGCAAGACUGAGAAACUGUUUUGGGGGCGUGCAAAUCUUUAGGAUAUCCAUGAGUUCAUGUAUGUUUAGAAUUACAAAGUAUGUCCAUGUUUGUCUUGACCUUCAAGAAUCACAGGGUUAAUGAGAUAUGUAAUAGGGCUGUAAUGCAAUGCCACUAUCUGUAACUGCAUUUCUUUAAUGCUCCAAACAUUGUGCCUAGAACUUAGCUCACUCCAUCACUCCAGUCCAUAAUUGGUCUCAACUAGAGAUUCAUUUUUUGUUUGUUCGUUUUAUGAUAUUUUUUUUAAACAAAUGUAGUUUCCCAAAAUUGAAACAAACUAGUAGUAUAAUUUAAACUGCUGUGACCAUGAUGAGGCAGUAACUAAGGAUGAAUUAAUGAAUUGCACAAACCAGUCUUUCUUUAUCCCGCUCGCAUCAAAAGUAAAAACCUUCCACUCUCAUGACUCACCCCCCGGGCAGGGUCUUGAUACAUACCUCUAAUCUACAUCAAAUGCUUUGUGAACCUUUCUGGCUUUUUUGUUGUUGUUGAACCAAACACACCUCUAAUAUACGUAUAUGUAUCUGUUUAGAACAUCUGUUUGAUUCUGAAUAACAUGUUCCACCCGUAUGUACUGUAACUUGUAGAGAAAUUUGAAAAAACUCCAGGAACUUUCACUCCAAGGUAACAUCGCCAAACUAUUUUGUGACCUCGAGGACUAAACUAAGAGGACUAGCAUGACGGAUUGCCUCUCACAACCUGUGUGACUUUCUUUUACUUCUCCAUUCUUUUUUUCUUUCUGAGAAAGUAUAAAUCACUUUCCCCCUUGUUCACCCUCCAUUCCCACAACCCCUCCUUUCCCCUUCCAUCAACGUUCCCUCUCUUUCUCAGACAGGGUUGAGAUAGAUAAGCACCACUGAUCAAUGAGGUGCUGCUGUGCUCUUUAACUAGACUCUUUCUCCACACUCGGAGUGUGGGCACCGCUCCACUCGCCAUCCAUUUUUACCCCUCUCUCCCUCUGACCUAAUGGAUCUGUGAAGCGGAGGAGAUCGACUUCUUUUUUUGUUUGCUCAUUCGUUCCUUCUCAUCGCGCUCUGAAAGGACUGAUGUGCACGAGGCGAAAACCAAUCAAUUGCUCUGCGUAUGGAUCUUUCUUUUUCUUAUUAUUUGUAAAAUGCCAUAACCUGGUCGAAAAGUCAGCCCUGAUGGAAUUCUGAUCAGGGGCGAGAAAGAAAUAUUAAAUAUUUCACAGCUGACCCUGACAGCUGUGACAGUGGGUUUGAGAGAAAGAAAGAAAGAAAGAAAGAAAGAAACAAACAAACAAACAAACAAACAAACAAACAAACAAACAAUGACAUAAAAAAGAAAAAACAAAGAAUGAAAGGUUCAACAGAAAAACAUCAAACAAAGAAAGAAUUGAAGAAAAUUGAAACAGUUAAGUAAAAUAUUUUAAAAAGAAAGAUAGACAGAAACAAUGAAGUAAAAAUGAAAGAAAGAAAGAAAGAAAGAAAGAAAGAAAGAAAGAAAGAAAGAAAGAAAGAAAGAAAGAAAGGAUAGUGAAAACAUCAAAUGUAAGGAAAGAAAGAAAAAAAUGAUAGAAAGAAAGAAAAAAUUAAGAAACAAUGAAGUAAAAAAAAUCAACUGAAAGAAAGAAUGAAGUAAAAGGUUAAAAAAGAAAGAAAGAAUGAAAGAAAAGAAACAUUGGAGUAAAAAUAAAUGAAAGAAAGAAAGAAACGAUAGUGAAAAACAUCAAACAGAAAGAAAUAAGAAAUAAAAAGAAAGAAAGAAAUUAAGAAGAAAGAAAGAAUGGAGUAUAAAAUUAAAAAGAAGGAAAGAAUGAAUGAAGUAAAAUAAUAAACGGAAAGAAAGCAGAAAAUAAUUCAAUGAGGAUGAAAAGAAAAACGCAUCACUGCUGAUUGGUGACUGUGAGACGUUGAGCUUUAGUGUAAUGUGUAACUGUCACUCUUCGCUGUUUUCUCACAGGAGGGAUUUAAAACGGGUGGCUUUGUGUCGUAGGAAAACUCGGAUGGAAUAAGUCUGACUUUUCAUUUUCAUUGUUGACCAACAGGAUUAGCAGGAUUUGGUUUCUCAUAUCCACGCCUAGAAAACCUUUGGCUCUUUGGCUUACUGGGAAUUAAAUAAAUAAAGUAGAUUACUUCCUGUUUCCUCAGAGAUUUUGAUGUGUAUUAGGGAUGGAACUGAAUACGUUAUUCGGAAUGAACAGAUAAUGUGCUAUAAAUAGACACAAAUACAGAUGUGAUUCUUUUCUUCUUCUUCUUUGCUUUAUUAGAAAGCUUGCCAGAAAGGUUCACAUAACAUCUGGUUGAGACUAGGAGUGUUCAUCGCUACUGGAAUCCUAUGGGAUACAACAAAUAAUAUAAUUCUGGGGGGGGGGCUACGCAGGCACAACGAGUUGCGCGAUUCAUCCUUAGUAACCGCCUGGACAGGGUUGCAGUGAUUUCAAUUAGCCUGCUAGUUUGUUUAUAUUUUGGGAAGAAGAUCCAACUAAAUUGGUUAUAAAGUGAUGUAGCUGAGGCAGUUGAGGAACUGUCAGAACCAGAAUUCAUCUGUUUAUGGAGGCAUAGUGUUCAUAGGGUUCAUAUUUAACUUAACUUAACUUAAACGAGAUAUACUGUUUAUACACAGUAAAGUAUUUGCAUUUGAUCAGUCAACAUAGUCAGUCCCUCCAAGAUUUAGCAAUUUCACAGAAAUGAAAUGAAAUGAAAUCUCAUAAAAUCACAAAAUCCCAACGCGCAGUGCAUCGAACAUGAGUACAGCUAAAAGGUCUCAUUUACAAAAAAAAACAUAGCUGCGAAAGAGCGCAUGAAACAAAUUCGCGCAGUUGCGAUUUUGCCAAUUCAAUUACUUUUCACAAAAAAAGCAGAAAAAUCUGCACAAGUUGCACCACAAAUUUUGAAAAACGCUGCAGAGCAAUAUCGAGCGUUUUUGGUCGCAACAAACAAAAAAUAAAAACACCACUCUUUAUAGUUAGCUAGCUAAAAAAAGACGAACAUGGAGGUUGAAAAUUCCAAUUUCCCACUUCCAGGGUAAGUCAAAAUCAACAUAUAUACAAAUACGGAUACUUUUAACGACCCCCCACUGCACCCCCACCCAGUCUCUUUCCAAACAGUCCAAAAGGUCAGAACAAUAAGAAUGGAAGAUUAGGCGUUUUACUAAGUACCAGUCCAUUCCCAUGACACAGCAGCCAUUUUGAUUAACAUUCUCCUUUUUUGUGUGUGUUUGUGGGUGGUAAAGCUUUGAUCAUGGACAUACAUCAGUUUUAAAACCUUCGGGAAUUGACUGAUAGCUGCAGUCGGAUGAAUCAAGCAACACAGAAAGUUCUGUAAUAAAGGUCUUUGGUAUAAAGUUGACUAGGGAAUAAUAAAGCAUGUUUGUUAUUGCUAGCGACGCGCAAACUGUACUCAUCCCUCCUCAGCGAGUUAAUUAUUCAUGUUGUUCAUGCCUUUUGUGAGCACUUUUUUUUCUUCUCACAUUCAGCAGUUUUCUACCAGACAUAAAUAAUCCUUAAAGGAAGCAGAGCUACACACAAUGGAGCCCACAAACAAGUCUGCCGCAAACUCUCGAAACUAGCGCUCAGAUCAGCAAAAACGACACUCCUCCCAGAGGAAACGGGACUCAGGUGGCAUCGAUACCUGCCAGGUUCGGGAGACAGGUAGGCAAUGCCUCAGUUUACCUUUGCCUGCUUCUGCGGCCUCCAUGGCCUGUGCCGGCGGAGAAAGAAGAAAAAGAAGAAACAAGAGGAACAGCAGCAGGACUACGAGACCGUGGUUUGACGAUUUGGGACUGAAAAUACACUUGGGUCUAUGCCAAAAAAAGUCUUUGUAAGCCCUCAGCAAACCUCAGGGCUGAUAUUAAGGGACUACUUUCCUAAGUUUCUUCAGGAGUUGUACUCAGUGAAAGAAAGUGAGACAAAGGCGAAGCACUCUUACAUUUUAGAUCACGUCCAUGAAUUAUGAGUGGGUGUUUCUGUUUCAGUGUGAUUCCACAGACUUGAUUGAUUACUGCAAAUCAUAUAUUCAGCAUAUCUUCAGUUACUCUGACACCGCAAAGAACUUCAAACAAAAAUUAGCUAUUCUAAUUGAAAAAAAAGAACAGAAGACGUUGUGUCGCCCCAAACCCCCCCUCCCCCGCCUCCAUAUUAAAGACAAGUUCAGGGUUUCAGAUAUUCAGGAACCAUGAAAACAUCCCACUAACAAUCAGAUCCAUUCUAAGUGAAUAUAUGAGUUUGGAAUUUGAUUAUAGUAUUUUUAGACAGCUUGAUUGAUAGUCUUUUCUAUUUAUUGCUUGAAAAUGAGUGCUUCAGCAGAGUCUGGCAGCCAUAGAGGUGCUCCACAGCACCUGGAUCUGGUGCCUUUAUUCUCCACCAGUUUGCCUGUUAAUUGCCUUCCCAGUAAUUAUGAACCCCUAGGAAGAUCCAAGUGGCCUCUUCGCAAAUGCCACCACAGUAAAGGAUGGGUACCAUCUGUCAUUUCUCGGGAACAUUUUAAGUCUGGCCCUUGGCAAGCGUCAACUGACUCCUCUUGAUUAUUGUGUGGAUUCUGGAAAAGGAUGUGGAAUGAAUUUAAAUGAAACCUGUGGGUGGUGGGAUUUUGUGUCAUUUUGAAGGGUGUGUCUGUGAAAUGGUUAGGAAACUACAUCAAACCACAUAAUCAGGCAGGGUAAAGCUUAUUCAUGUCACACUCUGAAUUAGACCUUUCCAAUCAUGCUGUCCCAAAGCAGUCUGGCAGACUAGUGAUAGAGCGUAGCGUGGACAUUUCCCAAUAAGACAAGAUUCAGGAGCCAGGUGUCCUCUCUCAAAGGACAUUAGGCAGGAAUGAGGAGUGACGAAUGUGCAAGUUAUUUCUAGACCUGUCUUCUCUGACCUAGACGGAGUUUCUUAGGUCCACGGUUUCUUUCUAAGGUUAAUGUGAUUAAGCCUUAAAUAGCAGCACAGACUGUGUCCAAAGGUCACAAUAUACAGAAGGUCACAAACACGCAAAAGUCGGCUCAUCACCUGGCUAACAAAAAUGCGUCCUUUCCCCCUUUGCUACACAAAGUUAUACAAUUAUGGCUAUUUUUAGAACAUUUAUGCAUGAAUAACCCCCAUCAGCCCUAUCAGCUCUACAUUAAUAUAUUCAAUUAAAAUUGGGGGUUGGGAGGGUGGGGGGUUGAAGCUCACCAUGGCAACUGGUCUGACCAAAACUCUGGCCUUUGGAUGCAGGGUUUGAAUGGCUUUGAAAAUAGCAGUAAUUGUGGUGGUAAAUGGCAGCCCUCAUUAAGGAAGGUGAUUAUGCAGUCCACGCAUGCGAGGAUGGGGCGAUGCAAUUAAUCUCGCUCAACAGGAAGCGCGCCAGGAUGACGGAUGCUCCUAAAUCUGAUGUCGCGGAAACAAAAGGGGAAGAAAAAGUCAGGGACUUAAACUUUGGAUAAUGUCCUUUUUGCAUAUUCAGAUUUAGAGGGCUUUCCAGAACCAGUUAAUAUGAGCCAAUGUUAUCCAAUGCGUAUCCUUUCAUCUACUUAUCCCAAGCCAUUCGGACCAUUCAGAUUUCACCUGCAAGUCAUGGUAAAGCCCUAAGCGUUUGAUCCUUGUAUUCAUUUGAACAAGUAUUCAAAAUGAGAGGCGGUUAAAUCGAUUCGAGUGAGUGUUUGUGAGACAAUUCAUCAGACCAAGUUAUCAUGUUACAGGAGCAAGCUUCUGUGGAAGUAAGGGGGGCCAAAUUUAAUGAGCAUGAGAUUGAAACGGCUGCUAAUUACCUGCAGCCGCACUAAUUCAUUGUGUCUGUCUUGCUGGCUCAGAGACUGCACUCUUUAUAGGUGGGUGGCAAUAAAUGAGUGCAUUGCAUCAGAUCGGCACUAUUUUUGCAUGUUUGCUCUGUUAAGCGAUGACAGGAGGCAAGAUUUAAUUACAGUUUUAACUUGCACCACCAAACACACUCAUUUUUCAGCACUGACGUCGGAUACGGUGUUUAGUGUUUCGUAGAAAGCGUAGUGUGCACAGGGGUUUCUACAUUGCAGCCUCGAAAACAAAUAGGUGCAUUAUGCCUUCCCAUUUUCUUUAAACCCAAACUGCCAUUAAACCCGAAUCUCCCAUCUGUCAGCACCCACUGAAAAGUGGCGGCGGCACAAAUGAUCCUUGUCGUGCACGGGUAGACAUUUAUUGCAUUCGGGCUUCAUUUUUCAGCUACAGCACAAAGAACCUGAGCGCGAGAGACAGGGAAGAGGGUGCUGACAUGCGUUCGUCCUGUUCCUUCUCCACCACGCUGACAGCCGACCUGUCUCCGUGCCUUAAUGAAGAUUAAAGCAGGUUUCCUCUUCUUAAGCUCCUGUAAUUAUCCGAUCGUCCAAUAGACAGGCGGGUAGGGCCUCUGCCGAUGGCAGCCUUAGAGAGAGGAAAGUUGAGAGGAGGACGCAAGAAGAUCAUGUAAUUGCGAUGGUAAUGGAUUUUGUCGGGAGCACCUGUCAUGGCCAUGGAGAAAACAGCCAAGGAAGGGAAUUGGAGUCAGGAUGCCAGCGAGCUGAGCCUCUGUCUGAGCCAAGCUCACCUGAUUGCCAAUUUAGGGGAGUCUUCAUGCAUCAAGCAUUGAGAGCAGGGGCGUUAAGGGGCCUAGGUGGCGAUUCACUGGGCAAACCAUUAAAGAAGGUGUCAGUGCGAAUAAGCGACCAGACGGGCAAGAGUGAAAGCUAAAACCAAACGACGUUUAAUUUCCAAUUGAGAGCAGGGGAAGAUGAAAAAGAAACGCACCACUGAAUUUCUCCAGCUAAUGUGAGGUUCCUGGUCAGACAUGCUCUGCUGAGCACAUGAAGUUGAUGCAAGUAGAGCUGGCAGCCUCACUUCGGUGAAUGAGGCCAGUUAAGUUAAGAAAAGUACACGGUCAAAAGGCAAAAUGGACAGGGCAGUCUUCUGUUGCAUGUAAACGUGGUCAGGCUGCGGCAAAAUUAAAUGUGUCUCAGGAAGGGCUGUUUCCUGUUUCCUACCCUAGCAAAAUCAUUCUCAAGUCUCCCCCACCCUGAACCCCCACCAACCAUAGCAACAUCCUAUUUAACCCCCAACCAAAAUCUCUACCAGACUUUGUGAUAUUCUACUUAACUCCCGCACCCCAAAUUCCCACCAAACCUAGUGAUAUCCUACUUAACCCCAUCCCAAACCCCCAUCAACCCAAGCAACAUCUUACUUAACAACCCACCCCAAAUCUCCACUAACUCUAGUGACACCCAGUUGCCCCAUCCAAUCCAAAGCUGUGUCAACCCUAGCAACAUCCUACUCCCCUCACCCAUAACCUUAACCAAACCUAGUGACACCUUACUUAACCCCCCACCCCAAAUUACCACCAACCCUAGCAACAUCAUACUUGACCCUCCAUCCAUCCCCACCAUACCUCUCAAAAAGGCAGCCCCCAGAUAAACCCUAAACCAUGAUAACAAUCACGGAUAUAAUUUCUAUGGCCCCUGGUGGCUCAGGGGUCCUAAACAACUGCUUCUACCACUUAUAGUAAAACAACACAAUUUUCAUGCUCAUCUUUACAAAGCAUCAAAUUUCAUGCUGUUUGUGUAUGCACUGUUUGAGCUGCUCAUUUACCGAGACGCAAACGCUUGCCAAAACACAAACACCAAACAGGCAAUAGCUGAAAAAAUGAUUAUUACUUUUGUUACGGCAGCUGCGCCCAGCUUGCAGUGUUUGCCAGGUGCGCAAAAUCAAUUCCAAAUGUGUUGUUUUUUGAAAGUACUUAAGGUGGGAUUGAAGAAACUUGGUAGAAAUAUCCAACACGGAGGUGCGUAUUUGAGGCUGGCAGCCAAGGGCAGGUGCCUGUUUAUCAGCAGUAAACGUUAACAACUUUUCUGGCAUUGAAAACUCCAGGGGAAGUGUUCUCUGUUGUUGACACUGCACACUUCAUUGCUUCCAGAGACAUUAGCUUGAUCUGGUGUGUGGCUGUGUCAGGGUGACCAAAGCGAAUUGCCACUGGAACAAACUGCACUCUAAGUUUAUCACCAUUUUUCGUGUUGGCCUUUUCGAAAAGUUUAGACAGGAUGAGUAAGAUGAAUGAGUCAGACUCCAACCCGCACAUUUAAUCUUAAUCAGAUGUCUAUCUCGGAUUUUAUUGAUUAGAUAAAUGAACGAAUCAAUAGGCACUCUCUUCUUGAUGUGUUGUUGUUCUUGCUUCGAUACUAAUAAAUGGGUCCUUCAUAUAAUCAAGGAAUCUUGUUCAUGAGGAUGGCAAAGACGUUUCUGUCCAAUCAGACGCCUCUAGUCAAACUCUAGUGGUUAGCAUUUUAUCUCAAAACUGCAGCGGAUUCCCUUUAAACCAUUUAAAGUUCCUCUUUAAUUGGCUGUCUUGGACUUUUUCAUCCCAUGGUUAUUUUACUGAGGAAAAUGUCAUUUCAUCGUGUUGUCCUGAACAUUUUAAAUUUCCUUCAGAAAUAUGAGUUGUCCACCACAGAGAGAUGUAAUAAAUAUUGAUUUCACCCAAAGCGUGAAUUUUUCUACCGAACGUGAGGCAACUGUAGUUUUACCAGCUUAAUUAUACAUUGUUGAGCCAGGGAAGAAAACUCUCAUUAAUGUGUUUCCAUCCACAGACUCCCUCAGUAUCGCCUGCUGUCAGUUCCACUAGGUGCGAACAAUAGGGAAAACAUCAGCGUUAUAAUUUGCUCUUCUCUCAUUCUCUUAAUGGAGACCCGCUCUUUAGGAAAGGAGAUAUGCCCUAUUGAAGCGUUCCUCAUCACCGAUUAGCUUCUCAUAGCAGCCGAUUGUGUUUCUCAGACAUGCCUUGCAAAAUAAUUCCCUUCGUAGCCUUUUCAUUUUUCAAGAAAGCAGCGCUUGUGAAAGAGAGACGGCUUUUGUCUAAGACUUUCCAGGCUCGGAGUUAAUCGGGAAUCAAACGUUACGCCUUUGUUUCGUUUGACUUGGAUGCUCUGUCUCUUUUGGGAGGUUUGAUGAAGCCGCUUAGCUUUACCUUUCUCCCUCGUUUUCUUCCCCUCUCUCUCUCUCUCUCUCUCUCUCUCUCUCUCUGUCUUGCAUUAUCUCACUGUGCCCGAGUCAGCAGCCGUAGCGAGCUCGACACUGCUUGUAAGCGGCUUCUCUGUGUUCCAGGCAGUGAGUUUCAUUACUCAUUGUGCCGAAGCACAGAGGCGGCUCGUGCACACUCACCACUGAGGAGAGUGAGACUGUAGUACACAAUGUCCCAUCUUCCUUCUCUCUCCAAAAUAACACAGAACAAUGACGGUACAGGUGGGACAGGAUGUAAAUGCGGGUGAUUCCAUGAUUGCAGUACUUUUACAUUUAGCCUUUGUUUUUUUUUCUUUCUUUUUUUAGCAUUACAUGACAUCCAUUUAAAAAAAAAAUAGCAUAACACUGAAUCUAAGAAAACACGCAUUUAACCAUCUCACGUGACAAUCCCAUGUUUUACAACGGCUGUAUUUUGCUCUUAAAUGAUUAACAAAGUGGAGUUUGAGCCGUCGUUGUUGUUUUUUUUUUUAAUAGAAUAGUAUAGAAUUAUCAAAUACACAACAUGUGCUUAACUUGAAUCUGUCCAAUCACUGGAAAAAAAAGAAUGAACGUGCUUACUUUUCUUCUUCCUAUGGUCUUCAGGGAAUUUGAAUGAUGCAACGUCCUGUUGAACAUGUGACUUGUGGAAUGUUCCAAAUAUUUCGUAGGGGUGAAUGUGUUCAGGUAAGAUUUUUCAGAACGUAUAAUGGACGACUCGUGGUGAAGGAUGCGAAUAUCUAUCAUGUGAUAGAUGAAUUUACACAUUAAGCCAGAAAUACUAAGAGGUUUGAAGUAAUUUGUUUAUAUUUCAAGGUAAAAUGGAGUUAAGAGUGCUGUAGGUUUUGUAGGGUUUAUUCGAGUUUUUUAUCUGAAACAUGCGCAUAGGUUCUUUUUUUGUCUUUUUUUUUUUUUUUUUUUUUACAUUUACAUACAUAUUAAAGACAAUGAUAAAUGUAAUAUCAGUUGAACACAGAUGGCAACCCAAUCGUGGAACCACCCAAUGUGUAUCAGAGUGAUGAUUACGAACAUAAACAUGAGCGUCUAGCUGUUUUUUUUAUACAUUAUUGUGAUCAUAUUAUAAACCGUGACAGGGAUUUAACAUCGGCGUAGCUUCAUGGAGAGAAACUAAACCAUUUCCACUUCUUCUCCACCAAGCUUCCUGAUCUUCAGUCACUUAACGUUGAUGGCACUUGUGUUGAUUAAGGGUCGUGAGCUGUGCAUCCUCGACACAGUACCAGAUGCCUGGACUGGAGAGAUCUUAGUUUCUCCUAAUCAAGCUUAUGUGCCUGUCUUUUUUCUGCGUUUAAGCCUCUGUAGAAAUUACCACACGCUCCAGGCUCAAUCCUCGUGCCGGGGAAGACGUGAUAUCCGAGACGCGUGUGGUUCAUCACACCUCAAGGUUAUGGUGCUUCAAAAAAAAUUGUUUGUGCGUUCACAGAGGGGAAAAAUAUCAAAUAUGUGUGCCAAGCGGUUCUAACAAAGAAAAAGAAAGAAAGUGCAAGCAUCAGCCCGUGGCAUCUCAGCAUGCCAUGCCUUGCUUUUUAGAGGCUAGACUUAAAGCGCAAGCUUACACCGUGCGUGUGUGAUUUGUGCUUGGCUGUUUGAAAUACAGAACACGUCUGCAUCGGAUGGAUCCCCGCGGCCCAGGGAGCCUCAUUAGAAAGACUCGUGUGCCAGUCUUAAAGCCGGGAUAAGCUUAGCAGCCAGGAGCUAGUGAUAAAGGAGUUAUGUAUCGCCGCCUUACACGCGCAUGACAAAAAGCCCUCUUAUCCAGGUGCCACGCGGCCUAACCUUAUAUAUCACAUGCUGCGGAGGAUGACACACAGCCAGAAACUGUUUGCUUUCGGUCGAAUCUUCUAUACCGAGAGAAUUAAUAGGCCUACUGUACAAGAUGGAAAGUGUGCGCAUGAUUGAACGAAUAUGUAACUACAUUCGCAGAGUGGAAUAAUUAUUGUUUUUUUUAAAAUUACCCAGAUAUCAAUCCUAAUCCCAGUCCCUUUGUACAUAUACGUGACGCUAGCCUCUUAGAGAUGUUUGUCUUCUCAUCUCAAGUAUCUCAAUUAGUGGUCAGCAAAUAUUCCAUCAAAUCUGUCAAAAUAACGUGCUAGAGUGCAAAUAUUUUAUAUUUGCAGUGAAAUCAAGAUCCUAGAUUGGGGGGGGGGGGGGGGUUCUCUCAAAACCAUGCUAAUGUUUAUUAUUCAUAUACUUUGGGAGUAUUCCAAAUUCCCACACAUUUCACAUGCGAUUUUAGGUUUUUCAUGGGAUUAUAUCAAUCACAUGUGAAAACAAAUCACACAUGUCAGAAAAUCACACGUGGAAACAUGAAACCACAACACCCUAGAAGGUUAGAAUGUGAAAAUAAAUGAAUUGUGAAUCAAAGUAAACAACUUGCAUGUAAAAAGCAUAUGCAAAGGUAAACGAAUCACAUUAAUCAAAUAAAUGAAUUGUGAAUCAAAGUAAACAACUCACGUGUAAAAAUCACAUGCGAAGGUAAACAAAUCACAUGAAUCAAAUAAAUGAAUCGUGUGUAAGAAUCGCAUCUGGGGGAAAACGAAUCAUGAAUCGACAUAAAUGAAUCAUGUGUAAGAAUCGCAUCUGGGAAAAACGAAUUAUGAAUCGACAUAAAUGAAUCGUGUGUAAAAGUCACAUGUGAAAAACGUGUCAAUUUGAUGUGUGAAUCAUGUGACUCAUCACAUGUGAAUUUCAUGUGACUUUUCCUUAAGGGUUCUCUUCAUCUUUUUUUUUAGACAAAUAUUCCAACAACAUAAUAAGUUAGAGCUCAAAUAUUUUACAUUCGCAGUGUAAUCAAUGGUACUGUAAUUUUCUGUAUACUGGUGUACAUAUACUGUGACUGAUGACAUACACAACAAUAAUAACUAAGAAUGAAUUAAAUACACAAUAAUUAGCAGUCUAUAUUUGUAUUUUAUAACUUGCAGGUUUAGGAACGAUGUCCUAUAUAAUCUCUUUUGAAAAUGUGAGUGCAAUGAGUUGUGUGCCUUUUUUUUCCUUGUCCAAUAUAUUAGAAGCCAAUUAUUAAUAUGCAUAUUUGUCCCAAGAGAGCCAUAGACUCAAUAAGCCAUGAUCGAGCCAAAUGAGAUGCAAAUGUUUUCAUUAAUAAAACAUAUUACUGUGAUCGCUGCUUGACUUGACUUGGUGAGAGAACAGCGCUUGUGCAAUGCCUGCUAAACUAAAAUGCCUACAACUCAAUCGAAACCCAAUAAUCAUGUACGUAAUUACGUUUUCUGGGGAGGGUUUUUCCCCCGUUUGGUUUAAAUGAAACCAUAAAUGCAUGCAUUUUUUUAAAUGUUUUUUUUGACUGGAAUAUACUUUCUAAUCUCUGUGCAAGCCAUGUUUUCUAAUAAAGACAUUUUACUCCAGUGCUUUUGAAUAAAACAUCUUUGUACAAUUUGCACAGUGAAGUGGGUCUUUGUGAUCAUUUUAGCAAGCUUUGCACAGUCAAAAUGGCUUUUAAUGACCACUCUUUCGCAUCUACACUGCACAAAUUUCACUAUAUUGCACUGUUGAGCACAUUAGUGUCUUCAUUUUUGCACCUUAGACUCGAACACAUUCUCACUGCUCCUCAUUAUCGUCUAGAUUCAAACUUUUCUGUAGGCACACACACACACACACACACACACACACACA